Molecule: ribosomal RNA, 253 nt
Filed under: uncultured bacterium
Lineage: Bacteria
Description: partial 16S ribosomal RNA
Rfam family: Bacterial small subunit ribosomal RNA
Source: RNAcentral
UACAGAGGGUGCGAGCGUUAAUCGGAAUCACUGGGCGUAAAGCGCACGUAGGCGGAUCUUUAAGUCAGGGGUGAAAUCCCGAGGCUCAACCUCGGAACUGCCUUUGAUACUGGGGAUCUCGAGUCCGGGAGAGGUGAGUGGAACUGCGAGUGUAGAGGUGAAAUUCGUAGAUAUUCGCAAGAACACCAGUGGCGAAGGCGGCUCACUGGCCCGGAACUGACGCUGAGGUGCGAAAGCGUGGGGAGCAAACAGG